Molecule: ribosomal RNA, 255 nt
Filed under: Akkermansia muciniphila ATCC BAA-835
Lineage: Bacteria; Pseudomonadati; Verrucomicrobiota; Verrucomicrobiia; Verrucomicrobiales; Akkermansiaceae
Description: partial 16S ribosomal RNA
Rfam family: Bacterial small subunit ribosomal RNA
Source: RNAcentral
CCUCCCGCGGUCUCCCGCGUUGUUCGGCCUCCCUUGGCGUCCCGCGUGCGUCGGCUGUUUCGUCGGUCGUGUGUGAAAGGCGCGGGCUCAACCCGCGGACGGCACAUGAUACUGCGAGACUAGAGUAAUGGAGGGGGAACCGGAAUUCUCGGUGUAGCAGUGAAAUGCGUAGAUAUCGAGAGGAACACUCGUGGCGAAGGCGGGUUCCUGGACAUUAACUGACGCUGAGGCACGAAGGCCAGGGGAGCGAAAGGG